This 497-nucleotide ribosomal RNA is filed under the name uncultured bacterium. Its description in RNAcentral is "partial 16S ribosomal RNA". It matches the Rfam family "Bacterial small subunit ribosomal RNA", at positions 28 to 507 of the family's 1533-position model. The record is from RNAcentral.
GAUGAACGCUGGCGGCGUGCCUAAUACAUGCAAGUCGAGCGAACAGACGAGGAGCUUGCUCCUCUGACGUUAGCGGCGGACGGGUGAGUAACACGUGGAUAACCUACCUAUAAGACUGGGAUAACUUCGGGAAACCGGAGCUAAUACCGGAUAAUAUAUUGAACCGCAUGGUUCAAUAGUGAAAGACGGUUUUGCUGUCACUUAUAGAUGGAUCCGCGCCGCAUUAGCUAGUUGGUAAGGUAACGGCUUACCAAGGCAACGAUGCGUAGCCGACCUGAGAGGGUGAUCGGCCACACUGGAACUGAGACACGGUCCAGACUCCUACGGGAGGCAGCAGUAGGGAAUCUUGCGCAAUGGGCGAAAGCCUGACGGAGCCACGCCGCGUGAGUGAUGAAGGUCUUCGGAUCGUAAAACUCUGUUAUUGGGGAAGAACAAAUGUGUAAGUAACUAUGCACGUCUUGACGGUACCUAAUCAGAAAGCCACGGCUAACUACGUG